CGCCUCUUGAAACUACAUAAGAGGUCCAGCCUGCCCAGUGACUAAGUUCAACGGCCGCGGUAUCCUAACCGUGCGAAGGUAGCGUAAUCACUUGUUCUUUAAAUGAGGACUAGUAUGAAUGGCACCACGAGGGUUAUGCUGUCUCCUUUUUCUAAUCAAUGAAACUGAUCUCCCCGUGAAGAAGCGGGGAUAUAUCUAUAAGACGAGAAGACCCUAUGGAGCUUUAAAUCAUGUAACACUGGCUUUCACAUUAAAAUAUUCCAGAAUUUUUCAUAAUUACUCUAGCCACUAUGAUUACUAGUUUUAGGUUGGGGUGACCACGGAGCAAAAAUUAACCUCCAUGUUGAACGGAGCUACUCCUGAGCCAAAAGCCACGACUUUAAGCACUAAUAAAUUAACAUUAAUUGACCCAAUAUUUUUGAUCAACGAACCAAGUUACCCUAGGGAUAACAGCGCA
RNAcentral lists this ribosomal RNA (457 nucleotides) under Dendropsophus aff. minutus. RNAcentral's name for it is "partial 16S ribosomal RNA". It matches the Rfam family "Bacterial large subunit ribosomal RNA", at positions 1819 to 2484 of the family's 2925-position model. The record is from RNAcentral. Lineage: Eukaryota; Metazoa; Chordata; Amphibia; Anura; Hylidae.